UACGAGAGGCCCAAACGUUAUUCGGAAUUACUGGGCUUAAAGAGUUCGUAGGCGGCGCAGAAAGUAGGGUGUGAAAGCCCUCGGCUCAACCGAGGAAUUGCGCUCUAAACUACUGUGCUUGAGGAAUCUAGAGGUGAGCGGAACUGAUGGUGGAGCGGUGAAAUGCGUUGAUAUCAUCAGGAACACCGGAGGCGAAGGCGGCUCACUGGGGAUUUUCUGACGCUGAGGAACGAAAGCUAGGGUAGCGAACGGG
This 253-nucleotide ribosomal RNA is filed under the name uncultured bacterium. RNAcentral's name for it is "partial 16S ribosomal RNA". It matches the Rfam family "Bacterial small subunit ribosomal RNA", at positions 524 to 776 of the family's 1533-position model. The record is from RNAcentral.